AGUAUAGUAAGCUAAAUUUAAGCUAUUGGGCCCAUACCCCGAUUCAUGUUGGUUAAAAUCCUUCCUAUACUA
Molecule: transfer RNA, 72 nt
Filed under: Datnioides undecimradiatus (Mekong tiger perch)
Lineage: Eukaryota; Metazoa; Chordata; Actinopteri; Lobotiformes; Datnioididae
Also listed under: 1 other name
Description: tRNA-Met
Rfam family: tRNA
About the family: Transfer RNA (tRNA) molecules are approximately 80 nucleotides in length. Their secondary structure includes four short double-helical elements and three loops (D, anti-codon, and T loops).
Source: RNAcentral